Molecule: non-coding RNA, 462 nt
Organism: Cinara cedri
Lineage: Eukaryota; Metazoa; Arthropoda; Insecta; Hemiptera; Aphididae
Source: the annotation of a GenBank genome assembly
CUUUAAAUGUCAAUGUUUUUCGCAAUUUUUCAACGAAAACAUUUCGUCACUAUAUUUGUUUCUCAUGAUACCGUAGAAACUCCGUCCGCAUAUCUCGGAAAUCGCCAGAUCGUAUUAACACGCACGUCUGUAAAAUACUAAUGUCAAUCAUUAAAUAUCGAGUCUGUGCGAUUAUUUUUAACCGAAUUACGACAAAAUCGAAAUUAACGAAAUCACCGUUUUUUUUCCAUAGACUUUCCUGGUAUUAUUCCCAAUUAUUGCGAAAACUACUCGGAAAAUAAAAAAAACCACUUUAACGCGCCGAUCGGCUACGGAUUUCCACAGAACAAUUUUAUGCUGUCGUUUUUCGAUCACGAUUUCCGGUAAAAGUCGUUCACAAACACACGUACACACAAAGAGCUCGUAUACUGCCGGACGGGCGUGCCGCUGUUUUAGGCGGGAAUUCGAGAAGGUAUUAUAGGA